AGCGAACGCUGGCGGCAGGCUUAACACAUGCAAGUCGAGCGGGCACUUUCGGGUGUCAGCGGCGGACGGGUGAGUAACGCGUGGGAACGUGCCCUCUGGUUCGGAAUAACUCAGGGAAACUUGAGCUAAUACCGGAUACGCCCUUUUGGGGAAAGGCUUGCUGCCGGAGGAUCGGCCCGCGUCUGAUUAGCUAGUUGGUGAGGUAAGGGUACACCAAGGCGACGAUCAGUAGCUGGUCUGAGAGGAUGAUCAGCCACACUGGGACUGAGACACGGCCCAGACUCCUACGGGAGGCAGCAGUGGGGAAUAUUGGACAAUGGGCGCAAGCCUGAUCCAGCCAUGCCGCGUGAGUGAUGAAGGCCUUAGGGUUGUAAAGCUCUUUUAUCCGGGACGAUAAUGACGGUACCGGAAGAAUAAGCCCCGGCUAACUUCGUG
RNAcentral lists this ribosomal RNA (435 nucleotides) under uncultured bacterium. RNAcentral describes it as "partial 16S ribosomal RNA". It matches the Rfam family "Bacterial small subunit ribosomal RNA", at positions 29 to 507 of the family's 1533-position model. The record is from RNAcentral.